This 26-nucleotide non-coding RNA is filed under the name Homo sapiens (human). Lineage: Eukaryota; Metazoa; Chordata; Mammalia; Primates; Hominidae. The record is from RNAcentral.
CAUGCCAUCACCAGCUCAGGCAGUGC